GGAAUCUUCCACAAUGGGCGCAAGCCUGAUGGAGCAACACCGCGUGAGUGAAGAAGGGUUUCGGCUCGUAAAGCUCUGUUGUUAAAGAAGAACACGUAUGAGAGUAACUGUUCAUUCGUUGACGGUAUUUAACCAGAAAGUCACGGCUAACUACGUGCCAG
RNAcentral lists this ribosomal RNA (161 nucleotides) under uncultured bacterium. Its description in RNAcentral is "partial 16S rRNA". It matches the Rfam family "Bacterial small subunit ribosomal RNA", at positions 358 to 511 of the family's 1533-position model. The record is from RNAcentral.